RNAcentral lists this ribosomal RNA (472 nucleotides) under Micrococcineae bacterium CL1.116. RNAcentral's name for it is "bacterial SSU rRNA". It matches the Rfam family "Bacterial small subunit ribosomal RNA", at positions 13 to 497 of the family's 1533-position model. Lineage: Bacteria; Bacillati; Actinomycetota; Actinomycetes; Micrococcales. The record is from RNAcentral.
UUGAUCCCUGGCUCAGGAUGAACGCUGGCGGCGUGCUUAACACAUGCAAGUCGAACGAUGAUCCCAGCUUGCUGGGGGAUUAGUGGCGAACGGGUGAGUAACACGUGAGUAACCUGCCCUUAACUCUGGGAUAAGCCUGGGAAACUGGGUCUAAUACCGGAUAUGACUCCUCAUCGCAUGGUGGGGGGUGGAAAGCUUUAUUGUGGUUUUGGAUGGACUCGCGGCCUAUCAGCUUGUUGGUGAGGUAAUGGCUCACCAAGGCGACGACGGGUAGCCGGCCUGAGAGGGUGACCGGCCACACUGGGACUGAGACACGGCCCAGACUCCUACGGGAGGCAGCAGUGGGGAAUAUUGCACAAUGGGCGAAAGCCUGAUGCAGCGACGCCGCGUGAGGGAUGACGGCCUUCGGGUUGUAAACCUCUUUCAGUAGGGAAGAAGCGAAAGUGACGGUACCUGCAGAAGAAGCGCCGGC